Molecule: non-coding RNA, 46 nt
Filed under: Trichobilharzia regenti
Lineage: Eukaryota; Metazoa; Platyhelminthes; Trematoda; Strigeidida; Schistosomatidae
Source: RNAcentral
GUACUGAUGAAGAGUCCCAAACCAGGACGAAACAGCUGUCCACUAU